ACUCAAAUGAAUUGACGGGGACCCGCACAAGCAGUGGAGCAUGUGGUUUAAUUCGAUGCAACGCGAAGAACCUUACCUGGACUUGACAUGCAUUUGACCACUACAGAGAUGUAGUUUUUUCGCAAGAAACAGAUGCACAGGUGCUGCAUGGCUGUCGUCAGCUCGUGCCGUGAGGUGUUGGGUUAAGUCCCGCAACGAGCGCAACCCUUGUCGUUAGUUGCCAACACGUAAUGGUGGGCACUCUAGCGAGACUGCCUAGGUUAACUAGGAGGAAGGUGAGGAUGACGUCAAGUCCGCAUGGCCUUUAUGUCCAGGGCUACACACGUGCUACAAUGGUCGGUACAGAAGGCAGCGAAACCGUGAGGUGGAGCAAAUCCUCAAAGCCGGCCCCAGUUCAGAUUGGAGUCUGCAACUCGACUCCAUGAAGAUGGAAUUGCUAGUAAUGGCGGGUCAGCAACACCGCCGUGAAUACGUUCCCGGGUCUUGUACACACCGCCCGU
RNAcentral lists this ribosomal RNA (500 nucleotides) under uncultured bacterium. Its description in RNAcentral is "partial 16S ribosomal RNA". It matches the Rfam family "Bacterial small subunit ribosomal RNA", at positions 899 to 1397 of the family's 1533-position model. The record is from RNAcentral.